CCAGCAGCCGCGGUAAUACAGAGGGUGCAAGCGUUAAUCGGAAUUACUGGGCGUAAAGCGAGCGUAGGUGGCUUGAUAAGUCAGAUGUGAAAUCCCCGGGCUUAACCUGGGAACUGCAUCUGAAACUGUUAGGCUAGAGUAGGUGAGAGGGAAGUAGAAUUUCAGGUGUAGCGGUGAAAUGCGUAGAGAUCUGAAGGAAUACCGAUGGCGAAGGCAGCUUCCUGGCAUCAUACUGACACUGAGGCUCGAAAGCGUGGGUAGCAAACAGGAUUAGAUACCCUGGUAGUCCACGCCGUAAACGAUGUCUACUAGUCGUUGGGUCCCUUGAGGACUUAGUGACGCAGCUAACGCAAUAAGUAGACCGCCUGGGGAGUACGGCCGCAAGGUUAAAACUCAAAUGAAUUGACGGGGGCCCGCACAAGCGGUGGAGCAUGUGGUUUAAUUCGAUGCAACGCGAAGAACCUUACCUGGUCUUGACAUAUCUAGAAUCCUGCAGAGAUGCGGGAGUGCCUUCGGGAAUUAGAAUACAGGUGCUGCAUGGCUGUCGUCAGCUCGUGUCGUGAGAUGUUGGGUUAAGUCCCGCAACGAGCGCAACCCUUGUCCUUAGUUACCAGCGGGUUAAGCCGGGAACUCUAAGGAUACUGCCAGUGACAAACUGGAGGAAGGCGGGGACGACGUCAAGUCAUCAUGGCCCUUACGACCAGGGCUACACACGUGCUACAAUGGUAGGUACAGAGGGCAGCUACACAGCGAUGUGAUGCGAAUCUCAAAAAGCCUAUCGUAGUCCAGAUUGGAGUCUGCAACUCGACUCCAUGAAGUAGGAAUCGCUAGUAAUCGCGGAUCAGAAUGCCGCGGUGAAUACGUUCCCGGGCCUUGUACACACCGCCCGUCACACCAUGGGAGUUGAUUGCACCAGAAGUGGAUAGCUUAACCUUCGGGGAGGCGUC
This 947-nucleotide ribosomal RNA is filed under the name Psychrobacter sp. 22F07-MB1-8. RNAcentral describes it as "bacterial SSU rRNA". It matches the Rfam family "Bacterial small subunit ribosomal RNA", at positions 508 to 1454 of the family's 1533-position model. Lineage: Bacteria; Pseudomonadati; Pseudomonadota; Gammaproteobacteria; Moraxellales; Moraxellaceae. The record is from RNAcentral.